RNAcentral lists this long non-coding RNA (7696 nucleotides) under Homo sapiens (human). The record is from RNAcentral. Lineage: Eukaryota; Metazoa; Chordata; Mammalia; Primates; Hominidae.
GCAGAGGCGGCAGCCAGCUCGUCAGUGACUUCCGGGACGUCCCCCAUCCCGCGCUCCCUGCUCCUCAGGCCCAGCUUGCUCCUUGCUCCUUUCUCCUCGCUCCUCCGACGCACAUCAGACCACUGGAAGGGGGUGGGAAACCUGGAUCCUGGGUUGUUUUAGCUGGGAGCUGAGUCUAAGGGACUUUUUUUUUUUUUUUAAUGGCAGAGCGUGGCUUGUUUUGUUAAAACUGCCGCCAGUUGUUGCAACAGCUCCGAGUUAGAAUAAUAGAUGCAGUGUUCAGUUUUUAAUAUAUGUGUUCCCUGUUUUCUCUGCUCUUUUUAUGGCGGGGGGUGGGGGACAAAAAAGUGUAAAACAAGAUCCGUGCCGCAAAGGCAAUUUAAACCUAACAUCCCAACCUUCAUGCAGCCAUUCUACAAGGAGUUGUUGAGCACCUGCUGUCUAUCUACAGAAAUCUUGAAAUGUGGAACAGAGAUGGAAAUAUAGCAUGCAAGUCAGAAUGAAUUGCCAAACAAUGACAGAAGGCUGCUCUGAAAUGAUCAAAAUUUUCUCCUGGGACCUCACACCAAAGGAAUAUAAUAGGCAUUCAUUUCUAAGACAAUGCGGGUAAAGUGGAAUUCUAGUUUAUAUUACCUUUCUUAUUCUCUGCAUGCUGCUCUAGACAACUUUGUCAUGAUCCUUGCUUCUGGGGACUUGGUUUGUUUGGGGAAUGACAUCUUAUGAGGCAGUGGGAGCAAUACUUGUCCAGGACCAUUUUACCCAUGCAACCCAGAUGCAUAACCCAGGGGCAGAACUGGGGAUUCUAAUCAAGUCUCAAAGUGGAUAGGUUUGGAGAGGGCCAUCAUUGUAGCACAUAGAGGCUCCAAGAAGCUACAGUUCCUCCACAAGGCAAGCCCAGGUUCUGGCUUCUUUUUACAGGGUUUCAAAAGUGUGUAUUAUUUUAUUGUAUUUCUGGUUGUUUACUCUACAUUAAGAUAUUUAAAAAUAAAAAUAGAUUCUCAACCUAAAUUUUAAUUUUUUAUCUCUCUUCCUCUUUUUCUCAUUCUUUAUUUCAUGUUUCUUAAUCAGUAAAGAAUGGAAGAAUAGGCCGGGCGCGGUAGCUUACACCUGUAAUCCCAGCACUUUGGGAGGCCGAAGCGGGCGGAUCACGAGGUCAGGAGAUCGAGACCAUCCUGGCUAACACAGUGAAACCCUGUCUCUACUAAAAAUACAAAAAAUUAGCCGGGCAUGGUGGCGGGCGCCUGUAGUCCCAGCUACUCGGGAGGCUGAGGCAGGAGAAUGGCGUGAACUCGUGAGGCGGAGCUUGCAGUGAGCCGAGAUUGCUCCACUGCACUCCAGCCUGGGUGACAGAGCAAGACUCCCUCUCAAAAAAAAAAAAAAAAAAAAAGACCGGGUGCAGUGGCUCAUGCCUGUAAUCCCAGCACUUUGGGAGGCUGAGGCGGGCAGAUCACGAGGUCAGGAGAUCGAGACUAUCCUGGCUAACACCGUGAAACCCCGUCUCUACUUAAAAUACAAAAAAUUAGCCGGGUGUGGUGGUGGCGGGUGCCUGUAGUCCCAGCUACUCGGGAGGCCGAGGCAGGAGAAUGGCAUGAACCCAGGAGGUGGAGCUUGCAGUGAGCCGAGAUGCACCACUGCACUCCAGCCUGGGUGACAGAGUGAAACUCCGUCUCAUUAAAAAAAAAAAAAAAUGGAAGAAUGAAGAAAAUCAAAUUAAUCUAUAGGGAAAAGGGGAAAUAUAAAAAGAAUAGUUACAUUUUACUAUUCCUACUUUCAAAUGAAUCCAAGCUCAGCCAACUGCUAAGGAAAUUAGAAUGUAGGAAAAGAACCUGGGGGCUGGUGCCUUUGUUUCUGUCUGUGCAGAAACAUCUGGGUUUCAAUGAAAUGGUACCGUAAGAAUCAUUUGGCACCCAUCAUUGCUAUUAAAUGUCUGUUAGCAUUAAUGAAACAAAAGAGGCUCAUUAAAAAUGGCAUUUAUACUGGAAACCUUAGGAGGAUGGUAUGUAAUGAAUCAUUGGUGAGCUUUAUCAGUGACUGUGUAUUUUUGGCAGGAUAACAGAAAGAGGGAAUGAACAAGAAUGUACUUUUGUGAUCUUCCAGUGGGGUAGGAGAGAAAGAAGAUUGUGGCAGUUCUGGGGAAAUACUUCAAACAUCAAAGACCAGAGCCUUAAGAUCUGGUUACUGUUCUCACAGGAGCAUUUUCUUUGUCCUGUUGACUGUUUGGGAAAAUGUUUACAGCCAACUUUGCUGCUAAAUGUCUGAAUUCCGCUGAAGACACUUUCUUUCUGUGAACAGAAGUGUUUUGGACACAUUUUUCUCUUUAUCUUGUAUGCUUUUUUCAGUUACUUAUUUCAGUCAACUCUCCUAAGUUUAUUACUCAUAUUUUCUUAACACUUAUAAACUUUUUAAAAGAUAUUUGUUAUAGCAAAUUUAAGGCAAAAGUGCCAGAAAUCUAAUUUAUUAUAGAAGGUAUUUAAUUUCUGCCAGUGGAUGAUAAUGUUAAAUAUUUCUCUUAAAAGAUUAACAUUUGUAUAUAUCAGCAACAUGACUAACUUUUAGCAUUUUCCAUUUGCAUCUUCAUCUACUGCAACCAUCUUACUCUCUUUCUCUCUCUCCAUCUCUUGCCCCAGUCUCUCUCACACUCUUGGUUUUUCUAGGAACUUUAGGAAAUUAACCAAUUCAUUUUCUUAUGGGUCAUGACAAGAAGAAGGCUUCAGUCUAGUAUUUUAUCUCUGAUGGAGAUUUCAAAGGAUUUUAGUAAAAGCAUGUGAAAACUGCCUUCCAUAACAUUAUUAUCAUGCCUAGAAAUUAGGAAAUUAAUUAUACAUGGAUGGUUAACAUAGCAGUAAAAUGUGAAUAGUGACCAUGCUAGUAUAUCUGAGAUAAUAUGAUUUAGGUAACCUGCAGGCCUCCCCUGCUAUAUGCCUGUAUCCUUUCCUGUGGGACUUUUGCUGGCAACGCAGUUGAGAAUUAGAUGUACAGAGUUGAAAUGCUCUUUGGAUUCUGAGAAAUUAAGUUUUGUGAGAUAAUGGAAACAGCCCUAGAUAAGACUCUUGUAUACAAUUUCUGCUUGAAAGUGCUAUAUAACCUCCAGCAAGGCUCCUAAUCUCUCUAGACCUCAGUUUCCUUGCCCAUAACAGAAAAUGAUGGGAUCCUAUUCUAAAUCUGAAGUUUGAUAAUACUUCCAAAUUUUCUUUAUUCACAUCUCCCUUUCACCUCACGUCAAAUUCUAAGUCUUCAGUUCCCAGAUUUCUACCUAAUGAGGAGGGAAAAGAACCAAACGCUGAUAACUACAGAAUUGGUCUCUGGGAAAUAAUUGUCUUUGCUGAACACCAGUGCACCUUAAAGGGUGUGUUUGAUUUGGAAAAUAAUCCUCAGGUCCCCCAACUGCAUCCCAGCAAUGUCUUAAUGAAUGGAGGCUAUAUGAAUAGCCCCAGUUUUAUUCUGUGAAAGAAGCGAACAGAACCUUGGACAGGCAGGGUAACCUUUUCAGAGAGGAGAUGGGGCCAGGUCAGAGGAAAUAAAGCUGGUUAGCAACUUGGCAGGAAGCUGGAGCUUCAGAGAUGUAAGAAAUAUAAUUUCCCACUCAUUUCAAUGCAAAGAUGCUUUAAAAAUAGGGAUAUCUAAUAAAUAAUUUCAAGGUGUUUGCUAUAUAUGCUAUACUGUAAUCUUCCCCUUGCCUUCCUCCCAAACUCUUCAUUAAGUUUACUACAAUCACAGCCUUGAUUGGGGGAGACUUUGGGCACUGUGAGUGGAGGACAUGCCUAUUUCCACAUAAACAAGGGCAGCAUCAGCAGGUGGUGAAAUGAAAGCAUGGAUCAAGGAUUCAGAGGAAGCAGAAGACUACUAUAACUAGAGAUUUUGAGAAACUUAAAUCUUCACGCCACUCCCCACUCUCUUGACAAGAAACUAGGUUCCCAUCCCUAUAUAAGUCAGGAUGUUUGAACCAUAGCAAGCUAGAGGAUUUGGAAUCGUCCAGGCAAGUGACAUCUUUCACACUAGGAUAAGCAAAUAAUAAUAUAAUAAUUCAAAUUUUUAUUUUCUAAGAACGAAGAGAAUAGAAUUGAAAUUGGGUGCUCACUUCGGUGGCACAUAUACUAAAAUUGGAACAAUACAGAGAUGAUUAGCAUGGCCCCUGCACAAGGAUGGCACGCAAAUUUGUAAGCAUUCCAUAUUUUUCAAGUCUGCAAAAUAACCAGCUACCAUCAUGAUGACAAGAUCAAAUCCACACAUAAAAACACCAACCAUAAAUGUAAAUGGGCUAAAUGCCCCAAUUAAAAGACACAGAAUGGCAAGCUGGAUAAAGAACCAAGACCCAUCGGUAUGUUGUCUUCAAGAGAUCCAUCUCAGAUGCAAAGAUACACAUAGGCUCAAAAUAAAAGGAUGGAGGAAAAUUUACCAAGCAAAUGGAAAACAGAAAAAAGCAGGGGUUGCAAUCCUAGUUUCUGACAAAAUAGACUUUAAACCAACAAAGAUUAAAAAAAAAGACAAAGACAUUACAUAAUGGUAAAGUGUUCAAUUCAGCAAGAAGAGCUAACUAUCCUGAGUAUAUAUGUACCCAAUACAGGAGCACCCAGAAUCACAAAGCAAGUUCUUAGAGACCUUCAAAGAGACUUAGACUCCCACACAAUAAUAGUGGGAGAUUUUAACACCCCACUGACAAUAGUAGACAGAUGAUUCAGAUAGAAAAUUAACAAAGAUAUUCAGGACCUGAAUUCAGUUCUGGGUCAAGUGGACCUGACAGAUAUCUGCAGAACUCUCCACCUAAAAACAACAGAAUAUGUAUUCUUCUCAUUGCCACAUGGCACUUACUCUAAAGUUGACCACAUCAUCAGAAGUAAAACACUCCUCAGCAAAUGCAAAAGAACUGAAAUCAUAAACAGUCUCUCAAACCACCAUGCAAUCAAAUUGGAACUCAAGAUUAAGAAAUUCACUCAAAACCACACAACUACAUGGAAAUUGAACAACCUGCUCCUGAAUGAUUCUUGGGUAAAUAAUGAAAUUAAGGCAGAAAACAAGAAGUUCUUUGAAACUAAUGAGAAUGAAGAAACAAUGAACCAGAAUCUCUGGGAUACAGUGAAAGCAAUGUUAAGAGGAAAAUUUACAGCACUAAAUGCCCACAUCAAAAAGCUAGAAAGAUGUCAAGUUAACAAGCUAACAUUACAACUGAAGGAACUAGAGAACCAAGAGCAAACAAAUCCCAAAGCUAGCAGAAGACAAGAAAUAAGCAAGAUCAGAACUGAAAUGAAGGAGUUAGAGACACAAAAAACACAUUAAAAAAAAUAAAAUCCAGGAGGUGUUUUUGUGAAAAAAUUAACAAAAUAGAUAGACUGCUAGCAAGACUAAGGAAGAAAAGAGAGAAGAUUGAAACACAAUCGGAAGUGAUGAGGGCUAUCACCAAUGGCCCCACAGAAAUACAAACAACCAUCAGAGAAUACUAUCAACACCUCUAUACACAUAAACUAGAAAAUCUAGAAGAAACUGAUGAACUUCUGAACACAUACCCCCAAUCCCAUAACUGAACCAGGAAGAAUUCAAAUCCCUGAAUAGACCAAUAAUGAGUCCUGAAAUUGAGGCAGUAAUAAAUAGCUUACUAACCAAAAAAAGUCCAGAACCAGAUGGAUUCACUUCAUAGGCACGAAGAAUUGGUACCAUUUGUACUGAAACUAUUCCAAAGAAUUGAAAAGGAGGGACUCUUCCCUAACUCAUUCUAUGACAUCAGCAUUAACCUGAUGCCAAAACCUGGCAGUGAUAGAACAAAAAAAGAAAUCUUCAGGCCAAUAUCCUUGAUAAGAAUCAAUGCAAAAACCCUCAAUAAAAUACUAGCAAACUGAAUCCAGCAGCACAUCAAAAAGCUUAUCCACUAUGAUCAAAUAUGGAACCCAAAAAGAGGCCAAAUAGCCAAGACAAUCCUAAGCAAAAACAAAGCUGGAGGCAUCAUGCUACCUGGCUGAAAAAUAUACUACAAGACUACAGUGACAAAACAGCAUGGUACUGGUACAAGAACAGACACAUAGACCAAUGGAAGAGAAUAGAGAACCCAGAAAUAAGACUGCACGCCUCCAACCAGCUGAUCUUCAACAAACUUGACAAAAACAAGCAAUAGAGAAAGGAUUUUCUAUUUAACAAAUGGUGCUAGGAGAACUAACUGGCUAACCAUAUGGAGAAAAUUGAAACUGAACCCUUUUCUUACACCAUAUACAAAAAUCAACUCAAGAUGGAUUAAAGACAAUUGUAAAACCCAAAAUUAUAAAAACCCUAGAAGAAAAUCUAGGCAAUACCAUUUAGGACAUAAGCACGGGCAAAGAUUUCAUAAAGAAAAUGCCAAAAGCAAUUACAACAAAAGCAAAGAUUGACAAAUGGGAUCUAAUUAAACGAAAGAGCUUCUGCACAGCAAAAGAAACUAUCAUCAGAGUGAACAGACAACCUAUAGAAUGGGAGAAAAUUUUUGCAAACUACCCAUCUGACAGAUGUCUAAUAUCCAGCAUCGACAAGGUACUUAAAUAAAUUUACAAGAAAAAAACAAGCUCAUUAAAAAGUGGGCAAAGGACAUGAACAGACCCUUCUCAAAAGAAGACAUGCGACUGGGUGCAGUGGCUCACGCCUGCAAUCCCAGCACUUUGGGAGGCCAAGGCGGGCAGAUCACGAGGUCAGGAGAUCGAGACCAUCCUGGCUAACAUGGUGAAACCCCGUCUCUACUAAAAAAUACAAAAAAUUAGCUGGGUGUGGUGGCGGGCACCUGUAGUCCCAGCUACUCGGGAGGCUGAGGCAGGAGAAUGGUGUGAACCUGGGAGGUGGAGCUUGCAGCAGUGAGCAGCUGAGAUCGCGCCACUGCACUCCAGCCUGGGCAACAGAGUGAGACUCCGUCUCAAAAAAAAAAAAAAAAAGAAAGCUCAACAUUACUAAUCAUUAGAGAAAUACAAAUCAAAACCAUAAUGAGAUACCAUCUUAUGCCUGUCAGAACGGUUAUCAUUAAAAAGUCAAGAAACAACAGAUGCUGGCAAGGUUGUGGAGAAAAAGGAACACUUUUACACUGUUGGUGGGAGUGUAAAUGAGUUCAACCAUUGUGGAAGACAGUGUGGUGAUUCCUCAAAGACCUAGAGGCAGAAAUAUCACUUCACUCAGCAAUCUCAUUACUGCGUAUAUAUACCCAGAGGAAUAGAUCAUUCUGUUAUAAAGAUACAUGUGUGCAUAUGUUCAUUGCAGCUUUAUUCAUAAUAGCAAAGACUUGUAAUCAACCUAAAUGUCCAUCAAUGAUAGACUAGAUAAAGAAAAUGUGGUUACAUAUGUACCAUGGAAUACUGUGCAGCCAUAAAAAGGAAUGAGAUCAUGUUCUUUGCAGGGACGUGGAUGGAGCUGGAAGCCAUUAUCCUCAGCAAACUAAUGCAGGAACAGAAAACCAAAUACCACAUGUUCUCACUUAUAAGUGGGAACUGAAUGUUGAGAACACAUGAACACAUAGUGGGGAACAACACACACUGGGGCCUGUCGGAGGGUGUGGGUGGGAGGAGGGAGAGGGUCAGGAAGAAUAGCUAAUGGAUGCUGCACUUAAUACCUAGGUGAUGGGACUAUCUGUACAGCAAACCACCAUGGCACACAUUUACCUAUGUAACAAACCUGCAUAUCCUGCACAGGUACCCCUGAACUUAAAAUAAAAGUUGGAAAAAAAGAUAUUUAAAAGGAAUGUUUUUAAUAUUAA